This 273-nucleotide ribosomal RNA is filed under the name uncultured bacterium. RNAcentral describes it as "partial 16S ribosomal RNA". It matches the Rfam family "Bacterial small subunit ribosomal RNA", at positions 524 to 796 of the family's 1533-position model. The record is from RNAcentral.
UACAGAGGGUGCAAGCGUUAAUCGGAAUUACUGGGCGUAAAGCGCGCGUAGGUGGUUCAGUAAGAUGGAAGUGAAAUCCCCGGGCUUAACCUGGGAACUGCUUUCAUAACUGCUGAGCUAGAGUACGGUAGAGGGUAGUGGAAUUUCCUGUGUAGCGGUGAAAUGCGUAGAUAUAGGAAGGAACACCAGUGGCGAAGGCGACUACCUGGACUGAUACUGACACUGAGGUGCGAAAGCGUGGGGAGCAAACAGGAUUAGAUACCCGGGUAGUCC